ACUCCUACGGGAGGCAGCAGUGGGAAUAUUGCACAAUGGGCGCAAGCCUGAUGCAGCGACGCCGCGUGAGGGAUGACGGCCUUCGGGUUGUAAACCUCUUUCAGCAGGGACGAAGCGUAAGUGACGGUACCUGCAGAAGAAGCACCGGCUAACUAUGUGCCAGCAGCCGCGGUAAUACGUAGGGUGCGAGCGUUGUCCGGAAUUACUGGGCGUAAAGAGCUCGUAGGCGGUUUGUCACGUCGUCUGUGAAAUCCUAGGGCUUAACCCUGGACGUGCAGGCGAUACGGGCUGACUUGAGUACUACAGGGGAGACUGGAAUUUCUGGUGUAGCGGUGGAAUGCACAGAUAUCAGGAAGAACACCGAUGGCGAAGGCAGGUCUCUGGGUAGUAACUGACGCUGAGGAGCGAAAGCAUGGGUAGCGAACAGGAUUAGAUACCCUGGCGGCUCUG
This 450-nucleotide ribosomal RNA is filed under the name uncultured bacterium. RNAcentral's name for it is "bacterial SSU rRNA". It matches the Rfam family "Bacterial small subunit ribosomal RNA", at positions 335 to 798 of the family's 1533-position model. The record is from RNAcentral.